RNAcentral lists this ribosomal RNA (487 nucleotides) under uncultured Paracoccaceae bacterium. RNAcentral describes it as "bacterial SSU rRNA". The record is from RNAcentral. Lineage: Bacteria; Pseudomonadati; Pseudomonadota; Alphaproteobacteria; Rhodobacterales; Paracoccaceae.
AAUGGGGGAAUCUUAGACAAUGGGRGCAAGCCUGAUCUAGCCAUGCCGUGUGAGUGAUGAAGGCCCUAGGGUGUAAAGCUCUUUCACCAGGGAUGAUAAUGACAGUAUCCGGUAAAGAAACCCCGGCUAACUCCGUGCCAGCAGCCGCGGUAAUAUGGAGGGGGUUCGCGUUGUUUCCAAUUACUGGGGGUAAAGCGGACGUAGGCGGAUUAAUAAGUUUGAGGUGAAAUCCCAGGGUCAACCCUGGAGAAAUGCCAAAAACUGUUAUUAUUGUGAGUGAAAGAGGUGAGGGGAAUUCCAAGUGUAGAGGUGAAAUUUGUAGAUAUUUGGAGGAACACCAGUGGGGAAGGCGGCUCACUGGCUCUACACACUGACUGAGGUACGAAAGUGUGGGGAGCAAACAGGAUUAGAUACCCUGGUAGUCCACACCGUAAACGAUGAAUGCCAGACGUCAGCAAGCAUCUUGUUGGUGUCCCACCUAACGGAU